UACGGAGGAUGCAAGCGUUAUCCGGAAUGACUGGGCGUAAAGCGUCCGCAGGUGGCUGUGUAAGUCUGCUGUUAAAGCGUGAGGCUCAACCUCAUAAAGGCAGUGGAAACUACAUGGCUAGAGUGCGUUCGAGGCAGAGGGAAUUCCUGGUGUAGCGGUGAAAUGCGUAGAGAUCAGGAAGAACACCGGUGGCGAAAGCGCUCUGCUAGGCCGCAACUGACACUGAGGGACGAAAGCUAGGGGAGCGAAUGGG
RNAcentral lists this ribosomal RNA (253 nucleotides) under uncultured bacterium. RNAcentral describes it as "partial 16S ribosomal RNA". It matches the Rfam family "Bacterial small subunit ribosomal RNA", at positions 524 to 776 of the family's 1533-position model. The record is from RNAcentral.